UUGCUAUCUGCGAUAUGGAAGAUUCAAACCUGCCGCAGGUUCGGGUCUCACGUAGUGAGACAACGGAGCCGCUUGCGGCGACGGCCCGAAGGGCGAGCAAAGCGAGUCAUCCUGCACGACCCACCA
Molecule: small RNA, 126 nt
Filed under: Salmonella enterica subsp. enterica serovar Typhimurium
Lineage: Bacteria; Pseudomonadati; Pseudomonadota; Gammaproteobacteria; Enterobacterales; Enterobacteriaceae
Description: RtT sRNA
Rfam family: RtT RNA
About the family: This family represents a bacterial cis-regulatory element known as RtT RNA. The exact function of RtT is unknown although it is thought that it may be involved in changing the cellular response in relation to amino acid starvation.
Source: RNAcentral